Molecule: ribosomal RNA, 488 nt
Filed under: Heteronemertea gen. sp. 19 TCH-2015
Lineage: Eukaryota; Metazoa; Nemertea; Pilidiophora; Heteronemertea
Description: partial 16S ribosomal RNA
Rfam family: Bacterial large subunit ribosomal RNA
Source: RNAcentral
UGAUUUUUUAAAUGGCCGCGGUAUUCUGACCGUGCAAAGGUAGCAUAAUCAUUUCGCCUUUUUAUUGGGGGCUGGAAUGAAGGAAAGUAUAAGAGUAAAGCUGUCUUUUUUGUAAAAUUAUAAUUUGCUGUCCGUGUGAAGAAGCACUGGUAUUUUUAAAAGACAAGAAGACCCCAUUAAGCUUUACCUUUCAAUUUUGUUUUUUAUCUUAAAAGAAUAAAAAACAAAAUCUAAUUAGGUUUGGUUGGGGUGACUAAAAAGGAAGAAAUCCUUUUUUUUUUGUUUUACUGAGAGUUAAAGAAUGAUCCUUUGUUUGUGAGUGUUAGAAUAAGUUACUAUGGGGAUAACAGCGUAAUUUUCUCAGCGAGUUCUUAUUAAAGAGAAAGAUUGCGACCUCGAUGUUGACUUAUUAUUUCCUAGUAAGGUGCAAAAGCUUUAAGGGUUAGUCUGUUCGACUAUUAAAAUAGUACGUGAGUUGAGUUCAAACC